Cephus cinctus (wheat stem sawfly) is the source of this 1011-nucleotide long non-coding RNA. RefSeq lists it as uncharacterized. The transcript has 4 exons. The record is from RefSeq and is a predicted model, not a curated record. Lineage: Eukaryota; Metazoa; Arthropoda; Insecta; Hymenoptera; Cephidae.
ACAGUACUUCGUAUCUCCACUAAAUCGUAUCUUUUCUUUUCUUUAUUUCUUAUGUUUUAUCUAUAUAAGAAUUAUCUCAUUCAUUGUUCCGACUCGAAAAAAACACUCGUAAUUAUAAUUAAAGUUAUGCUCAGGCACGCGAGGCAGAGGCAGUAGAUUCUCGUAUCGAAUUAUCGAUCACAAUUUACGGCUAUAUGCCUUUUAAUUGUGAUUGACUUAGUUUUGAUUUAUUGUUCACUAAUGUAUCUUAUCACCGGUUAUCGUUUCUAGCACUCGCACAAACACGUAAUCUGCAUUACAAAGGAUUAACACAACUGUGAUUACGUCUCGCGAUAGGAAUGCGUAUCUGUUUUUUUUUUUUCAAAUUACAUUCUAAUAAACAUUUUUUCAAGAGACAACACGAUCGAUACCUUUGGGCUUUCGUGGCGGCACCUUCAUGAACUCAGCGCAUGAAAUUCUCUUGGUUAGAAUUUUCGAUGACAUUGUUGCAACUCGCCAAUAAAAAUGACAGAGCUGCCUCGUGAAUUCCACCUCCACCAUCGAGUUCCACCUUGUGCCGAUCAGCAACAUACGCAAUGUUACCAGCCGCCAGCUACAUAGGUGCACCCUGGAUGCAUUCUAAUAACAUUCACCAUGGGAUAUCUAAUAAGCUCAAUUGUCAUCCAAUACAAUUAUUGGGGUGAAGUGGCUACUGUGCAGCAUGAGAGAAUUCUUUCGUCACUGCUGAUAAGAGAUAAGCUCACGGAUGGAUCAUUCCACCAUUGGACUUCUCCACGGCCAAAGAUAAUAAAUAUUAAAUUGUCAAUAAAGUAGAUGGCAGCUGUCAAGUAGAAAACGAUGUGCCACUGACUGACGUUGUUCUGAAAAGGGAGGUCAAAGGGCUUACCUCAUCUGUGAUGAUCACACCUGCGAUGAGAGGAGAAACAAUGGCGACCACGGCAGCCGCACAGUUCGUUAUGGCCAUCAUACUGCCGGCAUUAUUUGGACUCAAGUCGAUAUGAUUGAUCUGAA